UUUACCUGCUUUAUCAUCUUUAGCCAGCAGUUAGCUCUCUGCAACUCUCACAUGGUCGCCCACUAAAGCUAAGCAGGGCUGGGCCCGGUCAGUACCUGGAUGGGAAACUACAUUGAAAUCUAGGCUGCUGCCAGAA
RNAcentral lists this ribosomal RNA (136 nucleotides) under Danio rerio (zebrafish). Lineage: Eukaryota; Metazoa; Chordata; Actinopteri; Cypriniformes; Danionidae. The record is from RNAcentral.